RNAcentral lists this ribosomal RNA (460 nucleotides) under uncultured bacterium. RNAcentral's name for it is "partial 16S ribosomal RNA". It matches the Rfam family "Bacterial small subunit ribosomal RNA", at positions 338 to 795 of the family's 1533-position model. The record is from RNAcentral.
CCUACGGGAGGCAGCAGUGAGGAAUAUUGGUCAAUGGGCGCGAGCCUGAACCAGCCAAGUAGCGUGAAGGAUGACUGCCCUACGGGUUGUAAACUUCUUUUAUAAAGGAAUAAAGUGCGGCACGUGUGCCUUUUUGUAUGUACCCUAUGAAUAAGGAUCGGCUAACUCCGUGCCAGCAGCCGCGGUAAUACGGAGGAUCCGAGCGUUAUCCGGAUUUAUUGGGUUUAAAGGGAGCGUAGGUGGGAUGUUAAGUCAGGUGGGAAAGUUUGCGGCUCAACCGUGAAAUUGCAUUUGAUACUGGGAGCCUUGAGUGCAGUAGAGGUAGGCGGAAUGCGUGGUGUAGCGGUGAAAUGCUUAGAUAUCACGAAGAACUCCGAUUGCGAAGGCAGCCUACUAAACUGCAACUGACAUUGAUGCACGAAAGUGUGGGUAUCAAACAGGAUUAGAUACCCUAGUAGUC